GACGAACGCUGGCGGCGUGCCUAAUACAUGCAAGUCGAGCGCAGAAGGUUGGUGCUUGUACCAACGGGAUGAGCAGCGGACGGGUGAGUAACGCGUGGGUAAUCUGCCUUUGAGCGGGGGACAACAUCUGGAAACGAAUGCUAAUACCGCAUAAUAACUUUAAACACAUGGUUUAAGUGUGAAAGAUGCUAUUGCAUCACUUAAUGGUUAUCUCGCGGUUGCUUAGCUAAGUGGUGAGGUAAACGCCCAACAAAGGGAUGGUACAUAACCGACCUUGAGGGGUGGUCGGCCAACAUGGGACUGAGACACGGCCCAAACUCCUACGGGAGGGAGCAGUAGGGGAUCUUCGGGAAUGGACGAAAGUCUGGACGAGCAACGCCGCGUGAGUGAAGAAGGGUUUCGGAUCGUAAAACUCUGUUGGUAGAGAAGAACGUUGGUGGGAGUGGAAAGCGCAUCAAGUGACGGUAACUAACCAGAAAGGGACGGCUAACUACGUG
This 497-nucleotide ribosomal RNA is filed under the name uncultured bacterium. RNAcentral describes it as "partial 16S ribosomal RNA". It matches the Rfam family "Bacterial small subunit ribosomal RNA", at positions 28 to 507 of the family's 1533-position model. The record is from RNAcentral.